CAAUAGCGUAUAUUAAAGUUGUUGCAGUUAAAAAGCUCGUAGUUGGAUUUGUGGCGUACGGUGGGUUCCGGGCACUUGUUGUCUGAGUAACUUGCUGUUGCCAUCCUUGGGUGGAACCUGUGUGGCAUUAGGUUGUCGUGCAGGGGAUGCCCAUCAUUUACUGUGAAAAAAUUAGAGUGUUCAAAGCAGGCUUAUGCCGUUGAAUAUAUUAGCAUGGAAUAAUGAGAUAGGACUUUUUUGCUAUUUUGUUGGUUUGCGCAAAGAGGUAAUGAUUAAUAGGGACAGUUGGGGGUAUUCGUAUUCCAUUGUCAGAGGUGAAAUUCUUGGAUUUUUGGAAGACGAACUACUGCGAAAGCAUUUACCAAGGAUGUUUUCGUUAA
RNAcentral lists this ribosomal RNA (380 nucleotides) under uncultured eukaryote. RNAcentral's name for it is "partial 18S ribosomal RNA". It matches the Rfam family "Eukaryotic small subunit ribosomal RNA", at positions 592 to 976 of the family's 1831-position model. The record is from RNAcentral.